UAAAAGCGACAUCAAAAUAUAUUUAAAAUAUAUAAAGAAAACAAUGGGUUUGAAGAUAAGUGAUUGGAAGGUAGGAGACCAUUGCUUUUGAUCAGAGUGUUUGAUCAUAUUCUUCUGUCUACUAGAGUGUGGGCUUCCAACCUAAAACCAAUUGGCAAUAGGUGGAGAGACCCAUAUCUUAUAUAUACCACUUAAGAUCCUACUUAACUUCCGAUGUGGGACAUUGUCCCUAAUACGCCCCCUCGAGAUGAUGGCUCUUCUAGCCAUUGAUCUCGAUAUGUUUGGGCAUGGAUCGGCGGGCCAAGUAUUGGGCCGGACCGAUGUGGAUCGGGUUGAGUAUGUGCGGAUCGGGCUCUGAUACCAUAUUAGAGUGUGGGCUUCCAACCUAAAACCAAUUGGCAAUAGGUGGAGAGGCCGCUAUCUUAUAUAUACCACUUAAGAUCCUACUUAACUUCCGAUGUGGAACAUUGUCCCUAAUAGUGUCCUUCUCCAUUCACUGUUGUAAUACUAUUAAAGUUAUAAGUUUACCCACUUCCAAAUUUCAAUCACAUUCAUAAGAACUGCAAAACGAGCGAUUUUUUUUUUUUUUUGGAUUUAAGUUCUUAUAAGUUUUCCAUUGUGAAAAAGUUAGCUAGUUAUGUUA
RNAcentral lists this small RNA (643 nucleotides) under Arabidopsis thaliana (thale cress). Its description in RNAcentral is "ATSL104360". Lineage: Eukaryota; Viridiplantae; Streptophyta; Magnoliopsida; Brassicales; Brassicaceae. The record is from RNAcentral.